CCUACGGGUGGCAGCAGUGGGGAAUAUUGCACAAUGGGCGUAACACUGAUCCAGCCACGUAGCGUGAGGGAGGAAGUAUUUCUGUAUGGUAAGCUCCAUUAGUAGGGAAGAAAAUUACGGUACCUGACUAAGAAUGUCCGUAUAACGACGUGCCAGCAGCCCCGAUAAUACGUAAGGGGCAAGCGUUAUCCGGAUUUACUGGGUGUAAAGGGAGCGUAGACGGUUAAUCAAGUCAGAAGUGAAAAGCCAGGGCUCAACCUUGGGACUGCUUUUGAAACUGAGUAGCUAGAGUGCGGGGGAGGUAAGCGGAAUUCCUGGUGUAGCGGUGAAAUGCGUAGAUAUUAGGAGGAACACCAGUGGCGAAGGCGGCUUACUGGACUGUAACUGACGUUGAGGCUCGAAGGCGUGGGGAGCAAACAGGAUUAGAUACCCCUGUAGUC
This 440-nucleotide ribosomal RNA is filed under the name uncultured bacterium. RNAcentral describes it as "partial 16S ribosomal RNA". It matches the Rfam family "Bacterial small subunit ribosomal RNA", at positions 338 to 795 of the family's 1533-position model. The record is from RNAcentral.